This 75-nucleotide transfer RNA is filed under the name Chondrodactylus angulifer. RNAcentral describes it as "tRNA-Asn". Lineage: Eukaryota; Metazoa; Chordata; Lepidosauria; Squamata; Gekkonidae. The record is from RNAcentral.
UAAAUCGAAGCUCGCUGGAUUGAGCGAUUAGUUGUUAACUAAGAGUUUGUGGGAUAAAGCCCUCCGAUAGUUUGG